GAAUUUGUCAUGCCCUUGGCACUUGAAGAGACUAAUAGAUCUCCAAGCAUCCGGUUGACCAUCUCAAUUAUUUACAGGGAACAAUAAACUGGAUCCUACAUUAAUAGACUACUCAAUGUUCCUCUGAGUAAAGAUGAUUAUAGUAAAGAGGUUAACACCCUGAAGUACUUAGCAGAGGAGAAUGGUUACCACCCGAAUGUCAUCGAUAAAGUGAUUAAGGAGAGAAGGAGAAAACAUAACACGGAAAGAUCUAACUUGUCGACUUCGGAAGCGGGUACAACUCCAAACAAUAAAUACUGUUGCAUUCCUUUCUAUGGCAGCAUUUCACAUAAGAUUGCCAACGUAAUCGGACAGAUUGAGAACUCCAAAGUGUCUUUUAAAUCAGAUAACAUCUUGGGACAGUUUAUAAUAAAGAAUAAGUUCCUUAUCGAUAACCUAGACAAACCUGGCGUCUACAGAUUGGAGUGCGGCGAACCAGGCUGCAAUGUAGUCUAUGUGGGAAGAAGUGGUAGAUCCAUUCGAACGAGAACAAAAGAACAUCUAACUAGCGCCAGGAACCCAAACAACCAUAAAUCUAUCUUCGGUGUUCACGUAAGGAAGAAGAACAUAAUUUUGAUGUGGAAGAUAACACCAAACUUAUUCAUCACUGCGAGUUCGGCUUCAAACAAGAGAUUCUAGAGGAGGUAGAGAUUUUUAAACAUAUGAAGAACAAAGAAUACAGGACACUAAAGCUAUGUUAACAAACAACUUUAAAGACACGUAUAAAAUUUUAUAUUGAUGCUCCUCGAGGACGCCACUGCAUCGUAGGGAAAUUCAACACCUGAGUCAACCUUGAUUGGAAGAAGAGGAAUCCGUCAACAUGAACGUCAGUUUUGUUUUGUUUAUGUUUUGUUUGUCAUUUUAUAUUUUUUGACUUUUCACAGUAUGCCUUUUUGACCAUUGAAUUUUUGAUAUUCAUUUAUUUAUAUUUUCAAUUUUCACUUUGUGACUUAUACUUAUUUUAUCAAUGUUUUACCAUAUGACUAUGGAACCUUAAAAUCGUUAAAAAUCCUGGAAGAGUUGAGAAAGAACUUUAACCUGUUGGAUUGAACUGCAAGCAUUACUUUUAAACAAAUUGAAUACGUGAGUACCUUUAGCAAUGAGUAAACAUCGCUUGUGGUGCUAUAGAUUUGAUUUUUGCCUGUAAACCGUUUAUUUUUCCCGACAUCACACUAACCGUCUAACGCCAUAAUAUGUUUGAGCCACUGAUUUUAAAUGCAAGUCAAAUUUUCCGAAUUUGACAGAUAAAAUUGAAAUAAGUCUUUAGCAGAACGCCCAGAUACUACCUACAUCAUAAUAUCACAUGAACCACUCAACAAGUUAGUCAUUUAAUACAUAACGGAAAAUUGUGAAUACAUAGCAGUUUGUCGGUUGUUUCAUCAACUUUUCAGGAAAAAGAGACUUUGAGAUUUCUUCAAUUUUCUUAUUCACGAAGGCAACCCAAUAGAUUAAUUCAUUUUGUAUAAUUUCAGAUGUACCAGGAGAAACUGAUCUACUGUUAAUAUCAUUGCAAAUCCA
Long non-coding RNA from Harmonia axyridis, 1557 nucleotides. RefSeq lists it as uncharacterized. The record is from RefSeq and is a predicted model, not a curated record. NCBI's taxonomy places the organism in Eukaryota, Metazoa, Arthropoda, Insecta, Coleoptera, Coccinellidae. The transcript has 2 exons.